GACAGAGGUCCCGAGCGUUAGGCGGAAUCACUGGGCUUAAAGCGUGUGUAGGCGGAUCGUUAAGUACCUUGUGAAAUCCCACGGCUCAACCGUGGAACUGCUGGGUAUACUGGCGAUCUUGAGCCACCUAGGGGCGAGCGGAACAAGCGGUGGAGCGGUGAAAUGCGUAGAUAUCGCUUGGAACGCCAAUGGUGAAAACAGCUCGCUGGGGGUGUGCUGACGCUGAGACACGAAAGCCAGGGGAGCGAACGGG
Molecule: ribosomal RNA, 253 nt
Filed under: uncultured bacterium
Lineage: Bacteria
Description: partial 16S ribosomal RNA
Rfam family: Bacterial small subunit ribosomal RNA
Source: RNAcentral